Molecule: transfer RNA, 90 nt
Filed under: Succinivibrio dextrinosolvens
Lineage: Bacteria; Pseudomonadati; Pseudomonadota; Gammaproteobacteria; Aeromonadales; Succinivibrionaceae
Also listed under: 7 other names
Description: tRNA_Leu_TAA
Rfam family: tRNA
About the family: Transfer RNA (tRNA) molecules are approximately 80 nucleotides in length. Their secondary structure includes four short double-helical elements and three loops (D, anti-codon, and T loops).
Source: RNAcentral
GCCCAGGUGGUGAAAUUGGUAGACACAAGGGACUUAAAAUCCCUCGGAACUUAUACUUCCGUGUCGGUUCGACUCCGACCCCGGGCACCA